Molecule: long non-coding RNA, 354 nt
Filed under: Coccomyxa subellipsoidea
Lineage: Eukaryota; Viridiplantae; Chlorophyta; Trebouxiophyceae; Coccomyxaceae
Description: long non-coding RNA (CSUB_LNC000139)
Source: RNAcentral
UGCACUCCUGUUUCCAUCAGCCUGCAUUAGCGUACAGGGAAGCAUGACGUUGCAAUGCGGGGGCCUCUGCAAUCCAUCGAUCUCGCACCUUUUCGAUUGUUUCUUCGAUUCUACAAUGGUAUCAACACAGAGUUGCUGCAGAAAUGCGUGAGGACCAUCUUGGGCGGCUGGGCAGAAAUUGACGUGCCUGGCAGAGAGAACAAUUUGAAUGCGUGCUCCGCAUUGCACUGGCAUGCAUGCGCAUCAUGUCUGAGCUUAAUUUAGGUUGUAUAUCAGUCGCUUGAAAAAAGGCCUCGAUGGUUUGCUAAGUGUUAAAUCAACGCUGUUCCUGACGACUCAGGAACUGCUGUGGCA